UUCAGCUGUUGAGGAAAGACAAUAACCAGGCUUGAAACCAGCAGUCGCUGAAUAAACGCGCUUCACUCAACAGUUCCAGGGAUGUUACAGAAUGUCCACAGACAUUCAGAUUACUGAGCAAGAAAGCGAUCAGAUCCAUGGAACACCCACGUCCUACUUUCUCCUACACGCAAGUAGCUUUGGCAUUUCUUGAGCCGCAGGCGCCUUAGGAACAUCAUGCAAGAUUUUUCUUUUUUUUUUAGGAACCCCGUUAAAUCAAGAUGUCACUGAAAUAAUUUUGCCACUCUGGGCUGCAGACCUCACCAGCAGCUGCCCCCUUGCUUGGCCCCGAAGACGCCAACGCAAGAAAUGAGAUCAAACUGAGACAAGCUGUUAUCACGCCAUCUGAUGGAAACUCCUGGAACAAUACGGAGCCAGACCAGUUUUGGAGGCAUCAGAACAAGGCAUUCCGGCUGGUUUAUUAUGAUUCCCCUUCGGUUCAACAUGUGUAUUUAUUUAUUUCAUUUUUACAUCAUCACCUCCCAAUUCCAGCUUAUUCUGUUCCAUUCCAGAGGAGUUCUAACUGGGAAGCAGUUAAUAAAAGCUUUGUUUUAAUUUUUGUUCCAAAAUAUUGCUCCCAGCUUUCUCCAAUGUAUCUGUUCUAUUUAUGUGACCAUUUGUUUUCUAAAGGGGCCAUUCCAAAGCACUCCAUUCCGUGUUUCACACAAUCAUUCCUUACCCAGGUAUGUGCUGCGCUGUAGAUUAUGGAUAUAAACACUACCUUGGGCAAACGUUGGAAAGGUGUGGUGAUUAAACAAAGAACAUUUUGUCCCCUUAAAA
This is a long non-coding RNA of Varanus komodoensis (Komodo dragon), 819 nucleotides long. RefSeq lists it as uncharacterized. NCBI's taxonomy places the organism in Eukaryota, Metazoa, Chordata, Lepidosauria, Squamata, Varanidae. The transcript is spliced from 2 exons. The record is from RefSeq and is a predicted model, not a curated record.